CAUCUCACAGAACUUAGUCCCGUCCUCGCUGAGCGAAUAGCCGUGCCAGGCCAUAUUGGUCCACCAACUCGCAUUGAAGGGAUCCAUAGGAUGUAUAGUAACAAUGUUGUAUGGUGUGAGAGUUAAAAAAUAUUAGAUUUUAAAAGGUGUUUUAAGAGUUUUGGUACAACAAAGAUAUCCUAUAUUUAACCUUUAAUACAUGACUAUAUAAAAACAACUUUGCAGGUGUUUCGGUUCUUGUGUUCUUGGUGAACUGAUUAAAUAGGGGUUAGGACAGAUAGAU
Arabidopsis thaliana (thale cress) is the source of this 283-nucleotide long non-coding RNA. RefSeq annotates it as other RNA. The transcript has a single exon. The record is from RefSeq. Lineage: Eukaryota; Viridiplantae; Streptophyta; Magnoliopsida; Brassicales; Brassicaceae.